CAACAUACCGCAUCCAAGAUACUACUUUCCUAAUUGCACUGACAAAUUUAAUAGCAGUACUGAAUAAAAUUAAUAUAUUGAAUACAUAAAUUAACAAUUUUGUAGCGAGUCGCGGCGAAUACCUUGUUGAUCUUGGACGUGUAAGAGUGACAGAAAAGCCGCAUGGACAGCUCGGAAAGUUACAACUUGACGUUAGAAAUUGAAAGCGGUUUGUUAGCGUCCAGUUGACACGACUCCAAGAUGCUGUCGGCAGAUAACGGGAUCGAACCAACAACUAUCGGAAGAUGAGUCAGUAUGUUAAACUGCUUCACCAUCAAGGUCGUAAACAAUAUUUUCAAGAUCACGUAUAAAGGUUUUUUGUUUAUACCGUAACUUGUACAGCCAGUCACAUAGAUGAAUAGAGAUGACCAAAUUAUAACAUUCUGUUUUAUACAUUUUACUCUAACGAACCUAAAAAUCUACGUAUGAUACAAAUUUUAUACUUGUUUAUCCUGAACAGUCGCCACUGUUCUGUACUAUUCUUGUUUUUCGAUGUGAAGAUUUAUUAUCUGCCGGUAAACUUCCAACUGCCUAUUUAUGAGAUAGGUCCAGAAAGAAGUGUAAAACCGGAUAGUGGAUCGCCAAGAAACGCAACGAGGUCAAGGUGAGGAUUUAGAACAAGGACAACACGGCUAAUUACUCUCACACAUUGUCGAUAGUGUUGAUAUUUGUCUAACACCUUUUCAUGUGUUAUUAUGGGCCCAUUGUUAUUAAUAAAUUACAAUUAGUGACUGUAUAAUAAAAAUCAAAACAU
Long non-coding RNA from Galleria mellonella (greater wax moth), 793 nucleotides. RefSeq lists it as uncharacterized. The record is from RefSeq and is a predicted model, not a curated record. The transcript has 3 exons. NCBI's taxonomy places the organism in Eukaryota, Metazoa, Arthropoda, Insecta, Lepidoptera, Pyralidae.